RNAcentral lists this ribosomal RNA (500 nucleotides) under uncultured bacterium. RNAcentral's name for it is "bacterial SSU rRNA". It matches the Rfam family "Bacterial small subunit ribosomal RNA", at positions 899 to 1397 of the family's 1533-position model. The record is from RNAcentral.
ACUCAAAGGAAUAGACGGGGACCCGCACAAGCAGCGGAGCAUGUGGUUUAAUUCGAUGCAACGCGAAGAACCUUACCAGGACUUGACAUCCCUCAGACUAGAUUAGAGAUAAUUUUUUCCCUUCGGGGACUGAGGUGACAGGUGGUGCAUGGUUGUCGUCAGCUCGUGUCGUGAGAUGUUGGGUUAAGUCCCGCAACGAGCGCAACCCCUGUCUUUAGUUGCCAUCAGAUAAGCUGGGCACUCUAAAGAGACUGCCGAUGACAAAUCGGAGGAAGGUGGGGAUGACGUCAAAUCAUCAUGCCCUUUAUGUCCUGGGCUACACACGUGCUACAAUGGUCGGUACAGUGGGUUGCCACUUAGCAAUAAGGAGCUAAUCCCAUAAAGCCGAUCCCAGUUCGGAUUGCAGGCUGCAAUUCGCCUGCAUGAAGCCGGAGUUGCUAGUAAUCGUGGAUCAGAAUGCCACGGUGAAUGCGUUCCCGGGUCUUGCACACACCGCCCGU